UGUCUUCGGGGCGGGGUGAAAUUCCCCACCGGCAGUAUAGUCUGCGAACCCGGGUUUUCCCGGGCCGAUCCGGUUGAAUUCCGGAACCGACAGUAUAGUCUGGAUGAGAGAAGGCG
Molecule: non-coding RNA, 116 nt
Filed under: bovine gut metagenome
Description: FMN riboswitch (RFN element)
Rfam family: FMN riboswitch aptamer (RFN element)
About the family: The RFN element is a highly conserved domain that is found frequently in the 5'-untranslated regions of prokaryotic mRNAs that encode for flavin mononucleotide (FMN) biosynthesis and transport proteins. This element is a metabolite-dependent riboswitch that directly binds FMN in the absence of proteins.
Source: RNAcentral